UGGCUGAACUCCUUUCUAGGGAGGAGAAUCCAAGUUUGAUAAGCCUGGGUUUUAUUUUUAAUUUAUCUGUGUUUCCCUCCCAGCCCGGAAGCCUAGGACACCGGCCACAACAAAUGCUAAGUCUUUUGUUCCAUCGAGGAAUGAUCUCGCUCUGGAGCCGACUCUUGCCGGUCAGAGCUCGGCGUCCCAGCCUUUCAGGCUUUCGGCCAGUUGCUCAGCUCCAAUUUUCGCCCCCGAAACACAAGGCUAUUUCUGUGAGGUGAGCACAUCAGAACGCGGUUAGCAGUCUUGCUUGGGAUUUUGCGACCAGAAUGGUAAUGCAGACCCUCGCUUUUAACAGGUGUCAGUCGUCAGUAGCAAGACACGACCCACGUGAAAUGCGUUGUUCGCAUAAAUACACACGUUUUAUACACCCCACGGGACAGACACGCACUCAGGAGCCAGCGGCCGAGGGCCCGUCUCAGGGGUUUCCACCCCGGUCCGCAAAGAGCCACUACAGCUGAUGUCUAAAAUAAGGUUUGUGUGCAAAGGGCAAGGAAUGGACGGGCAAACAGCAUCU
This 559-nucleotide long non-coding RNA is filed under the name Lynx pardinus (Iberian lynx). The record is from RNAcentral. Lineage: Eukaryota; Metazoa; Chordata; Mammalia; Carnivora; Felidae.